CGUGUGUGUGUGUGUGUGUGUGUGUGUGUGUGUGUGUGUGUGUGUGUGUGUGUGUGAAUGUGUAUGUGUGGUCGCGUGCGCGCGAAUACCAUUCUGGUAAUAAAGAAGUACAAAAAAUAAAAGAAAAUCAAAGAUAUAGUAGGAGAAUUAAAAUAAUGGGGAGGAGGAAUCAAAGAGUGUAAGCUUGUGAGAGAGUGAAAGAAAGAGUGAGGAAGAAAGAGUAGAAUGAAGGAGAGAGAAAAGGAUAGAGAGGAAGAGAAAGUGUGCGUAUAGAUAACAUACGAAGCACUUUUCUGUUUCGGAGCAGACAUACACACUGAAAAGUAUAUAUACAGACACCUACACAAAACAUACAUACAUAAGUGUAUGCCCAUACAACACACACAUACACAUAUAUUUGCAUCAAAACUAAAAGACAUAUACGCACGAUAAGGCAAGUUCUUGACCGAUACUCAUAUAUAUAUACAUAUAUAUCUAUACAUCCAUAUAUAUAUAUAUAUAUAUUUACAUGUAUUUAUAUAUAUGCCUACAUAGAUACACCAAUAUACGCCUUGACAUACACCGACACGCACAAAAUACACGUAAAUAAAUACAUACUUUUAUCAUCACAGUGGUUUAUAUGCAGAGAUACCCUUUAAAAAAAUGAGUAAAUACAAUAUACACGGAGCACCGACUGAUGAUUCGGGUUCGAAUCCAAGUGAAAGACGCAUCUUUCUUCGUAGAUGAGUCCAAUAACAGUCACUCACUGAGAUCAAUUGAAGCGCCCGGUUUCCCCUCUUCCAAAGCAAAAUAAAAGUUUGAAGACUUGUACCCAAGUUA
This 819-nucleotide unclassified non-coding RNA is filed under the name Octopus sinensis (East Asian common octopus). RNAcentral's name for it is "uncharacterized LOC115221577, transcript variant X6". The record is from RNAcentral. Lineage: Eukaryota; Metazoa; Mollusca; Cephalopoda; Octopoda; Octopodidae.